AGUGUCUAAGAGAUCAAAAGAAGAAGAAGAAGAUCAACCAUCAAAGAUCUUCACGAGCUAGCACUCCCAAGGCAAUUGAUCAACAAUCAUUCUUCGUGUUGAUGAUCUGUAGAGGUCGGACAUCUUUAUGCGGCUAUGACCAACUUGAAGAAACUCCAAUUCACAUGAUACAAUUACGGAGAUUAGGAACCCAUACUUCGGUAAUGAG
Molecule: long non-coding RNA, 208 nt
Filed under: Elaeis guineensis (African oil palm)
Lineage: Eukaryota; Viridiplantae; Streptophyta; Magnoliopsida; Arecales; Arecaceae
Description: long non-coding RNA (EGUI_LNC045639)
Source: RNAcentral